AUCACUCCAGCAAAAGGAGAGAAAGACUCCUCUUAAAGUUCUUGUUAGGCAAACCCUAGCACAGCAACCUUAAAGGAGAGAUAACUGCAUUAUCAGUUUUAAGUCAAAGGAAAUGUGAUUGACCCAUACACCCAUUGCCUUAAGGUUUUGGGUGAAAGAUGUGGUGUCCAAUCCACUUUGGUGUGCUCAUGUAAGCCCAAUGUGAUGAUCCCCGGGGUAUCAGAGCCGAUGGUUUGUGCGGUUAUGGUGAUGACUCCUUGUGUCGAAAGUCUUCCUAGCAAUGGUGGCUAGGCGGCGUGUCCCGUUGAUGGAGAUCCAACGGCGGUGCAAGUAAUUGGAGGUUUGCGCUUGAGAUAGACUCACACUUGAGGGGGAGAUUGUUGGGAUGUCAAGUGUGAGUAAAGAAGUCCCACAUUGAAUGGUUAGAGGAGAGAUGAGCACUCUAUAAGUGAGAGGACCCAUACACCCAUUGCCUUAAGGUUUUGGGUGAAAGAUGUGGUGUCCAAUCCACUUUGGUGUGCUCAUGUAAGCCCAAUGUGAUGAUCCCCCGGUUUAUCCUCUUGCGACCCAACAUAAUGUCCGGAAUCUCAGACGCUAUUCGAAGACGAGGCAUAAAUGUUUUGAUUA
Molecule: long non-coding RNA, 627 nt
Filed under: Lotus japonicus
Lineage: Eukaryota; Viridiplantae; Streptophyta; Magnoliopsida; Fabales; Fabaceae
Description: long non-coding RNA (LJAP_LNC000534)
Source: RNAcentral